AGUCGAGGGGCAGCAUGGUCUUAGCUUGCUAAGGCUGAUGGCGACCGGCGCACGGGUGAGUAACACAUAUCCAACCUGCCGUCUACUCUUGGCCAGCCUUCUGAAAGGAAGAUUAAUCCAGGAUGGGAUCAUGAGUUCACAUGUCCGCAUGAUUAAAGGUAUUUUCCGGUAGACGAUGGGGAUGCGUUCCAUUAGAUAGUAGGCGGGGUAACGGCCCACCUAGUCAACGAUGGAUAGGAGUUCUGAGAGGAAGGUCCCCCACAUUGGAACUGAGACACGGUCCAAACUCCUACGGGAGGCAGCAGUGGGGAAUAUUGGUCAAUGGGCGAUGGCCUGAACCAGCCAAGUAGCGUGAAGGAUGACUGCCCUAUGGGUUGUAAACUUCUUUUAUAAAGGAAUAAAGUCGGGUAUGCAUACCCGUUUGCAUGUACUUUAUGAAUAAGGAUCGGCUAACUCCGUGCCAGCAGCCGCGGUAAUACGGAGGAUCCGAGCGUUAUCCGGAUUUAUUGGGUUUAAAGGGAGCGUAGAUGGAUGUUUAAGUCAGUUGUGAAAGUUUGCGGCUCAACCGUAAAAUUGCAGUUGAUACUGGAUGUCUUGAGUGCAGUUGAGGCAGGCGGAAUUCGUGGUGUAGCGGUG
This 636-nucleotide ribosomal RNA is filed under the name uncultured bacterium. Its description in RNAcentral is "bacterial SSU rRNA". It matches the Rfam family "Bacterial small subunit ribosomal RNA", at positions 60 to 683 of the family's 1533-position model. The record is from RNAcentral.